AUUGAACGCUGGCGGCAGGCCUAACACAUGCAAGUCGAACGAGGGGCGGACGGGUGAGUAGUUUCUUGGAAACUGCCUGAUGGAGGGGGAUAACUCCUGGAAAAGGUAGCUAAUACCGCAUACUCGCCGAUGUGCCCAGAUGGGGUGAGCUUGUUGGUGGGGUAACGGCUCACCAGGGCGACGAUCCCUAGCUGGUCUGAGAGGAUGACCAGCCACACGGGUACAGAGACACGGUCCAGACUCCUACGUGAGGCAGCAGUGGGGAAUAUUGCACAAUGGGCGCAAGCCUGAUGCAGCCAUGCCGCGUGUAUGAAGAAGGCCUUCGGUUUGUAAAGUACUUUCGUCGGGGAGGCGUUACCCGCAGAAGAAGCACCGGCUAACUCCGUGCCAGCAGCCGCGGUAAUAC
RNAcentral lists this ribosomal RNA (406 nucleotides) under uncultured bacterium. Its description in RNAcentral is "partial 16S ribosomal RNA". It matches the Rfam family "Bacterial small subunit ribosomal RNA", at positions 30 to 526 of the family's 1533-position model. The record is from RNAcentral.